UUAGUAUGCCCUCCCAACUAAAACUUGCGCCGUCCCAUGUCUUGUACAAUUAGUGGUGGGUCUAUGAAAUUAGGGUGCCACUAGUUUUCCUUGACUAGACGGGUUUGUGUCGGACACUUACACGCAUAAGGGUUGGUUUGCUUAACAAGGUUAUCUUAACGGUUAAGGACCUUGGGGCAUAAAGGUUGGGUGCCGAGACAUAGAGAUGUCACCCAACAACAGGAGUCAUAUGUGAUAUGAUUAGCAAAAGUUGCUUACCGAUCUACCUCGUUUGCUAGCGGUGAUGCUAAAGCUCACUAGUAGACUUGUUAGUUGUGGAUCCUGAAUCACUAAGUUUCAAUAGAGGGAUAUUGAUUUUAGUGGGAGUAGAUUCUGUUAAAAUAGUUUAAUGUAAUUUGCUCUAUCAUGGAUACGUUUGUCUUAGUGUAUUUUGCAUUACUUUUGUUGUAGAUUAAAUGGCACCUAGCAGCACUACACCGUUUGCUUUGCGUUCGGUCCUUGAG
This 503-nucleotide long non-coding RNA is filed under the name Setaria viridis. RNAcentral describes it as "long non-coding RNA (SVIR_LNC001923)". Lineage: Eukaryota; Viridiplantae; Streptophyta; Magnoliopsida; Poales; Poaceae. The record is from RNAcentral.